GGGGCCCUUGGCAGGCGGCGCGGCUGGAGAGCAGCCGAAGAUUUAAGGCAUGGAUGGCGGCGGGAGCGGACUCACCUUGCAGCAUCGAUCGAGCCCUGAAAGCACCGUGACGCUUACGGUCACUCUUGCUCCGCGCGACACAAAUAAAGCCGGACAUGUGCCACUGACGCGAGACAGAAGUUAGCAUCGCUGGCCUUUGCUAAACCGAACUGCCGCGUGCUAACGCAGCCGGACGCAGAGAGCUUCCUGUCGGAUUUUUAACAACGAUUUCGAUAGAAAACCGGGGUAAAAGGACUGCACUAUGGUGUAGUCUGUCCCCGUUCUGGCCGCCGGUUUCACCGCCUUCUGAGGAGACGUUUGAGAUUGUUCUCCGAUCACAGCGAUGGACGAAGACACGCCGACCCUGAAGCCCAGGCGGAUACAAAAUCAAAACGUAGUUCAUCGCCUCAAGAGGCGCCGGAUCUGUUUGGACCGACCCGGAGCUCACUGGUACAGAGUACGGUGCUUCCACCAGAACCUUUUCCCAAACUUCACUGUGGUCAACGUGGAGAAGCCCCCCUGCUUCCUCAGAAAGUUCUCGCCAGAUGGCCGCUGUUUCAUUGCCUUCUCCUCUGACCAGACUUCUCUGGAGGUUUUACGCGCGGGACUCCGGCCUGCUGAAGUUCAAGAUCUAGGCCGGGCUGCUGGGGCGGCCGGUAAAUCACACCGUGCGGCGCCUGGUCGCAUUCACCAUCCACCCAUUCGAACCCUUCGGCAUCUCUGUGCAGCGCACCAACGCCGAGUACGUGGUCAACUUCAUGAGGCACGUCUGCGCGUGAGGAGUUCAAACCAAAAUUGGACUCAAAUUGCAGGAGCGGUGGGCUCCUGUUAUUAGCCAACGGUGACGAUGCAUUCAAACAUGUGCUCCAUCAGGAGGUACAAAACAGUGGUUCUGUGAGUCGCCUCCUCCUCUGUAGUACAUCAGCGGUCCUCUCCCGCUGAUGCAAAACCAGUGUUCCUCGCCGCUUUUCCCCCUCCCUCAUACAGCGGUCACUCCUCCCCCUCCGCGAGAAGGUAGCAAUUCUGCCUCUUUCCUUUCGUCCGCACCGCUUCACCUCUCUCCCCGCUUCCUCCUCAGAACAAAGCAGGUACCUGUAGGGAGGAGAGCAUGGAAUAAGUGUAAAUGGAGACGUAGAGAGAGUGAUUGAUGUGCGACGGAGGUGGGAAGCAGCAGGCAGCUGGACCUUUCGGAAGAAACCAAAGGUGUUUUCUUUUUCUAGCGUACACUUAAAAGCUGCACAUUCAUAUCAGAAUGGCUUGUCCAGUAGGUCCAUGAACAUCUGUCCAACAAACAUCUUUUUUUCUCACAUGGAUGGGGAAAGAGGUAUUUUUAUACGAUAAUGCUUUUACAGGUUUUUACAUAUUACCACUUGUAUAUAUUUUAUGCCAAUAAAAUGGUCUGUAAUUUGC
Gasterosteus aculeatus aculeatus (three-spined stickleback) is the source of this 1449-nucleotide long non-coding RNA. RefSeq lists it as uncharacterized. NCBI's taxonomy places the organism in Eukaryota, Metazoa, Chordata, Actinopteri, Perciformes, Gasterosteidae. The record is from RefSeq and is a predicted model, not a curated record.